Molecule: ribosomal RNA, 253 nt
Filed under: uncultured bacterium
Lineage: Bacteria
Description: partial 16S ribosomal RNA
Rfam family: Bacterial small subunit ribosomal RNA
Source: RNAcentral
UACAGAGGAUGCAAGCGUUAUCCGGAAUGAUUGGGCGUAAAGCGUCUGUAGGUGGCUUUUUAAGUCCGCCGUCAAAUCCCAGGGCUCAACUCUGGACAGGCGGUGGAAACUACCAAGCUGGAGUACGGUAGGGGCAGAGGGAAUUUCCGGUGGAGCGGUGAAAUGCGUAGAUAUCGGAAGGAACACCGGUGGCGAAAGCGGCGCGCUGGAUCCCUACUGACGCUGAGGCACGAAAGCGUGGGGAUCAAACAGG